This 492-nucleotide ribosomal RNA is filed under the name uncultured bacterium. RNAcentral's name for it is "partial 16S ribosomal RNA". It matches the Rfam family "Bacterial small subunit ribosomal RNA", at positions 29 to 507 of the family's 1533-position model. The record is from RNAcentral.
AGUGAACGCUGGCGGUAGGCCUAACACAUGCAAGUCGAACGGCAGCACAGUAAGAGCUUGCUCUUACGGGUGGCGAGUGGCGGACGGGUGAGGAAUACAUCGGAAUCUACUUUUUCGUGGGGGAUAACGUAGGGAAACUUCCGCUAAUACCGCAUACGACCUACGGGUGAAAGCAGGGGAUCUUCGGACCUUGCGCGAUUGAAUGAGCCGAUGUCGGAUUAGCUAGUUGGCGGGGUAAAGGCCCACCAAGGCGACGAUCCGUAGCUGGUCUGAGAGGAUGAUCAGCCACACUGGAACUGAGACACGGUCCAGACUCCUACGGGAGGCAGCAGUGGGGAAUAUUGGACAAAGGGCGCAAGCCUGAUCCAGCCAUACCGCGUGGGUGAAGAAGGCCUUCGGGUUGUAAAGCCCUUUUGUUGGGAAAGAAAAGCAGCAGGUUAAUACCCCGCUGUUCUGACGGUACCCAAAGAAUAAGCACCGGCUAACUUCGUG